GUGUCAGCCGCCGCGGUAAUACGGAGGGUGCAAGCGUUAUCCGGAUUCACUGGGUUUAAAGGGUGCGUAGGUGGGCAGAUAAGUCAGUGGUGAAAUCUCUGGGCUUAACCCGGAAACUGCCAUUGAUACUAUUUGUCUUGAAUUCUCUGGAGGUAAGCGGAAUAUGUCAUGUAGCGGUGAAAUGCUUAGAUAUGACAUAGAACACCCAUUGCGAAGGCAGCUUACUACGGAGAUAUUGACACUGAGGCACGAAAGCGUGGGGAUCAAACAGGAUUAGAAACCCCCGUAGUCC
RNAcentral lists this ribosomal RNA (292 nucleotides) under uncultured bacterium. Its description in RNAcentral is "partial 16S ribosomal RNA". It matches the Rfam family "Bacterial small subunit ribosomal RNA", at positions 505 to 796 of the family's 1533-position model. The record is from RNAcentral.